GGUCGAAAGAUCGUGGCCCCGCACACUGCUCAGUAACACGUAGUCAACCUACCCUUGGGACGGGGACAACCUCGGGAAACUGAGGCUAAUCCCCGAUAGGUGAGGGACGCUGGAAUGCCUCCUCGCCCAAAGCUCCGGCGCCCAAGGAUGGGACUGCGGUCUAUCAGGCUGUUGGUGGUGUAACGGACCACCAAACCUACGACGGGUACGGGCGAUGGGAGUCGGAGCCCGGAGAUGGGGACUGAGACAAGGCCCCAGGCCCUACGGGGCGCAGCAGGCGCGAAAACUCCGCAAUGCGCGCAAGCGUGACGGGGGAAUCCCAAGUGCCGUUGGUCUUAUGAUCGACGGUUUUUAGGAAGUCUAAGAAGCUUCCAGAAUAAGGGCUGGGCAAGACUGGUGCCAGCCGCCGCGGUAACACCAGCAGCCCAAGUGGUGACCACGAUUAUUGGGCCUAAAGCGCUCGUAGCCGGAUCAGCAAGUCCCUUGUGAAAUCGGGCCGCCUAACGGUUCGGCGUGCAAGGGAUACUGUUGGUCUUGAGGCCGGGAGAGGUCGGAGGUACUCCUGGGGUAGCGGUGAAAUGCUCUAAUCCUAGGGGGACCACCAGUGGCGAAGGCGUCCGACCAGAACGGACCUGACGGUGAGGGGCGAAGGCUAGGGGAGCGAACGGGAUUAGAUACCCCGGUAGUCCUAGCUGUAAAGCAUGCGGGCCAGGUGUCUAGCGCUCCUU
RNAcentral lists this ribosomal RNA (728 nucleotides) under uncultured archaeon. Its description in RNAcentral is "bacterial SSU rRNA". It matches the Rfam family "Archaeal small subunit ribosomal RNA", at positions 63 to 786 of the family's 1478-position model. The record is from RNAcentral.